AAAACGCUGUACUCGUGUGUCUGUGGCCACCGUUCUCUCCACCCUAGUAGCCGCACCCACACCCAGCCUACGCGCACGUACUUUCAGGGGUGGGGGGACGCACUGGGCAUAUGAGCGUCGAGGACGACUACCGCGCCUCUAUCGCGCAGGCACGCGAGGAGGAUCGCAACAGCCGUGAAUGCCGUCGCAAGCUGCGCAACGAAUACCAAGAUGACCUCCUCAAAACGCGCAUCGCGCAUGCCCGCAGUUGCUUUCUGAGAGACGUUCGCUUCCACAGUGAUCGCCGCUCCACCGCGGAGGAGAGGGUGAUGCUCACGCUUCGAAGCACUGCAGCCUGCUGGUCGAAGGUGUGCGAGCGCUCCAUUACCCGCCAGCUCGAUAUCGAGUCUGCCAAGAAACAGAAACAGUUGCGCGACGUCGCCUUCCUUGAACGCAUGCAUCAGCGAGAGGUGGAUGAGCAGCGCAGCGUGGAGGAGACCGAUCAGGCACGAUGGGUGGACUUGAACGCGCGGUACGCCGCUCAGCUGCUUGCCGACCGAAACGCUGCGGUGCAGGCAACAUUGGAAGACAUGAUGGGACACGCUGCGCAGUGCUUGAGUGAACUAGAGGAGAACCACCUCGACCACGCAGGCACAACGCUGCUCGCAGCGUUUUCGGUGGAGGCGACGCUGCGGCGGCUGAGCUCGGCCGACGACGUCGCUGUUUCAGCCGUGCGGGAGGCGUUUCACCACAUCUUCCACGGCAGCCCGUAUGCUCAGUCGAGCCCCGCAUUUCUUGCUCUGCUAGAGUUCUGUUACGUGCAGCAGCAACCCAAGCCACCGCUGGCGCAGGUGCAUUGUCUGUGCUCGGUGCCCAUCUUGGUAGUAGAUGGCCCCAAGUACAGCGGCAAGAGUCUCUUGACCAACUUUUUGAAGUCGAAAUACCGCCUCCUGUGCAUCUCAGACGAGACGCUGGUGCAGCGCGCCCUGCAAGUCGCCUCUUCAGACGUGAUGGAGAAAGAGGAGGAAGGCGCCGAUGACUGGGCUGAACUCGGGCGCUGCCUGCAAGAGACGCUUUUGGACGGCGGCGCCGUGAGCGUGGAGCUCAUGAUGGAUCUGCUGUGUCUGCAGCUGACGGAGCUGCGAAACGCACGUGAGGCUUUGCCAUAUGACGCCGUUCUACUCGAGGGUGUUGUCCGCUCCGUCGACGCUUACAAGAUGCUGGCGCAGCGACUCAGCAAUCCGCUGCUGCACCCGUACCUCAAGGUUGCGCAGCGAUGGGGCCUGUCAUUGACUGCUCUAGUCGGUGGCGGCGGCAGCGCGGCAGACGAGGAGGCGACGGCAGGGGAUCUUCCUCUCCUUUUGCGUCUGCCCGAUCAUCCCUCUUCGGAGUACGACAUGCCCGCGAAGCCGGAGCCAAAGGCGCGGCCCCUCAAGAAGGUGGAUCUCGCCGCCCUUCCCCCUGCGGAGCUACCGGAGGUGGAGAACACGGAGGCCGCCCAAGAGGCGGAGCGCGCGUUUGUGGCGCGGGCUGAACGUGAGCUCGCCUCCCUCCCUACGGUGCUCUCCGGUGUGCUGCACAUCAGCUGUGCCCCGGAGGAGGUGUUUCACCGCUUUGCAGGGCUGCGCACGGACUGCGAGACAGGCGCGAGGUACCACCUCACCUACAAUCCACCGCCCCAAGAGCGGCUGCCCUACAUGAUGCCGCUGUGUCGCCUCGAUACGUCGUCGGUGGAGCUGCAUGAAGCUGUCUUUCACCACAUGGAGGGGUGGGGUGCCACACGCCGAUGGUUGGCGCAGCAGUCAGAGCGGCCCACCUUUGCCCGGGUCUACGAACUGGCGGGCGACGGCCCAGCCGACGGCGUGCAAAAGGAGGCGCUGGAGGCGGUGGAUCAAAUCAUCUCCCACUUUCGCAUUAGCCGACAGCUGCUCCACGAGCACGACGCUUCCGCUGCUCGGCUGAGCGAGUUGGAGACGACGUGGCAGUCGCAGAAGGCUGCCCGGGAAGCGGAGCGGCUGCGGCUCAUCGAGCUCUACACCGAGAAAGGCGCCCCGAUCCCGCCAGCCCUCCAAGCCACCGUGGCGAAGACGUCCGGCUCGUCGGCGACCACGCUGAGCGCCGCUGCAGCGGGCGUCAUCUUAAAGGCUCUGGCAAAUUUCACGGACCUCUACGAGGGCUCCUACGCCGGCACCUGGAGCAGCAUGACGCACCUGGUGCAGCUCUUUCUCCGCUACUACACGAGCGUAGAGUCGCAAAUGGCUUUAUACUGGAAGCGACCGGACGACAAGCAGGCCAUCCUGAACCGCUUCCAGCGGUGCUUCGACUCGCUGCCGGCCUCCAUGCGUGUACCGCCAGCGUGCAAGGCGGAGCUGCAUCUCUCCCUAGACGCGCUGGACGAGGCACUGCACAGGUGCAUCGCCUUACGCGACGGCGAGGCGAGGGGCUUGCUUGACACCUUGACCAGCGCGGCAAGCUUCAUGGGGGGCUGGCAGACGCUUGUGUGUCAGGCAUUCACCCGCCUCUUACAGGCCGAGGCGGAUCGAUACUUCUUCGCGAUGCACCUUUUCUCCUUCUUUCUCGGCGCUGUCACAGGUGAGCCUCUGGGGUUCGACGAUGUCGAGGUGGACAUACCGCUGACGUCGAUGAACACCCCAGACCGGCCGACGCAAUCGACCAGCGCCGCCGGGGACACUUCGCCGUCGGUUUCGCCGGGCGUAAAAUCAACCAAGGAGAAGCGAGUGACGUCAACGAAGAAGUCGCAUAAGGUAGCCGACGAGCCGAAUGAGAAGAUCGCUGAGGACCAGCUUGCGGAGGUGGCGCAGGGGGUGCUGAACGGCUUCUCCUCUAUCACGGAUAAGCUGAAGGCCGUCGUGGAUGCGCAUGGGAAGACGCCAAAGCGCGCCGGCAGUGGCGUCAGUGGCGGCAGCGGCAGCGCGGUCAACAGCCCUGCACCACCCACCUCCAUCUUCGCCAUCGCCGCAGCCAAGUGUUACGGCUUCAUGGAAGCGGAAAGGGUCGCCGCCACCUCGCGGGUGGCGGCGAUUCACUCUUGUGGGCGAAUGUUGCUGAAGGAGGCGGAGGCGCACGCAAAGAAGAUGCGCACACGAAUGGAGGCGAGCCUCUUAGACGUGAUGGCACGAGAGGCCGCUGCCGCAAACACGGCCGUGUACGUUUUGCGUGAGUGUGUGGAGGCGGAGAAAAAGAGCCCCGCGAUGCACCUGGGCUGCACCACCUUUGCUGUGCUCGGAGAGAGGCCUCCGUGUGCUUCAAAGAACGCUGGCAGCACCGCCGAAGCGGUGGGCUGCACGUCGCCAAUGCCAACGAAGAUCGGCUCCACAAGUGAGGAGCGCCGCAGCUUCCUCACAGACGUGCCGCUCUUUGCCAAGCUGACGGAUCCGCAGCUCAUGGUUCACCCCGGGCUGACGGCGGUGCGACUCCUCGAGCUCGCCCAGCAGUUCCGCUGCGUCGCGCCCGACUACCAGCUAAGCCACUUCGACUUUAUGCUUCUCGUAGAGGACGACGACUACGCUGAGGCCGCGGUUAUUGGUCUGGACACGGCGCACAUGACACGAAAGACUCGCGAGGAGCUCUUUAGCACCUUCGAUUCACAGCGCACCGGUUUUGUAGACUGGCGUGAUGUCAUUGUGCACUUACUCUUCUGGGUCACACCGGCCACUACGGCAAGGACGCCGACAUCCGCCACGGCGCAGCGAGGCAUUCGCGAGAUGUCGCUGCAGGACCUGCUGAAGACGCGUGCUGCCCUCGGGGUUUGCGGGCUCACCGAGGAGCAGUUCUUCGAAAAGUCGUUCUUCUUGGACCACUACCUCGAUGAAGCGCUUGUGGAGGCCUACAUGCGCAUUUUGUGGUGCACGUUCCACGACGCCGCCAACCAGAUUCUUCAACCGCACAUACUGCUCGGCUUCUUGUGUGCCGACCCGCAGCCGAUCCGUGGCGCUCAAAAGGCUUUCCAUGUUCUCUCCGCACCCGGCGCAGAGGGCCGCGUCUCCUUGGAUGAGAUGGACGCUCUGUGCCACCUCAAGGCGACAAAUGCGCGUCUGAUGGACCAACCAGACCCCUGUAGCAAAAUGAAUUUGCGGCUUCUCUUCGGCACCGCAGCGACGUGCUCCUUCGAGGAGGUCUGCGCCUCGCCAAUGGGGCGCAAAAUGCUCAACCAUGCGGACCUCUUCCGCCGCCGGCAAUUCCUCAAGCGCAAGUAGCGGAUCACCACCGCCGUUGGGGCGCAUGUAGGCGCACGGUAGCAUCGCCACUGUUGUUCCUCCCUAUCCCUGCGGUUGCUGUGCGUCGUGACACGCAGUGCGAGCAACAGCGACGAGAGAACAAUGAGAGCCGAAACGGCACUGCUGGACAACGUGUUCAGCGUACCUGCCGUUUUCGCCGGUUUCUUUGGCACUCGCCUCUCCGCGCCCCGACCCUUUGCCCCCACCCCCUCACUGAGUCAAGCACGUGGGAAGAGCAUUACCUACACGCACGCAGAGUUUGUGGCGCUCUUUGCUGUGGAUGUUCUGCCCUCCUACCCUCUUCUCGCUUCCUCGGCCUCUUCAAGAUAUGCUGCGCUCUCUUCGGAGGUGUGUGCCUCUCUCCACCGCGACCACUCAUCAUCCCCAUCGUGGUAGCCUCUCCCCCUUCCCCGCACCCGCAACACCCUUGCCCUUUCCUGGACACUGUCAACACAAGCGCUUUUGACAUUGCCUGACUUCCUUUCCGUUCGUACUCCUUUCAUGUACAGUAGUUCUCAUGACGGAUCGAAUGACCGUGGCGCGUCGGGAGGAGCGAUUUGCUGUGACGCGCGUGCGUGGGUAGUUCGGUUUCGAUGUCGAUGUUACUCAAC
Molecule: unclassified non-coding RNA, 4828 nt
Filed under: Leishmania donovani
Lineage: Eukaryota; Euglenozoa; Kinetoplastea; Trypanosomatida; Trypanosomatidae
Description: gene:LdHU3.36.9400(CDS-product:hypothetical_prote in_conserved)
Source: RNAcentral